CUUUAGCCUGUGGUGCACAAU
RNAcentral lists this non-coding RNA (21 nucleotides) under Rattus norvegicus (Norway rat). The record is from RNAcentral. Lineage: Eukaryota; Metazoa; Chordata; Mammalia; Rodentia; Muridae.